ACCGGAUGCCGAUCUCGAAAACCUGUCCCAGUUCGGACUGGAGUCUGCAACCCGACUCCACGAAGUUGGAUUCGCUAGUAAUCGCGCAUCAGCCAUGGCGCGGUGAAUACGUUCCCGGGCCUUGUACACACCGCCCGUCAAGCCAUGGGAGCCGGGGGCGCCUGAAGUCCGGGACCGCGAGGACCGGCCUAGGGCGAAACUGGUGACUGGGCUAAGUCGUAACAAGGUAUC
RNAcentral lists this ribosomal RNA (231 nucleotides) under uncultured bacterium. RNAcentral's name for it is "partial 16S ribosomal RNA". It matches the Rfam family "Bacterial small subunit ribosomal RNA", at positions 1260 to 1500 of the family's 1533-position model. The record is from RNAcentral.